CCAGAUCAAUCCAGAUAAACCAGAUCAAACCAAUCAAACUAGAUCAAACCAGAUCAAACAGGAUCCAUUAGAUCAAACCAGAUCAAACAGGAUCCAUUAGAUCAAACCAGAUAAACCACAUCAAACAGGAUC
This is a long non-coding RNA of Labrus mixtus (cuckoo wrasse), 132 nucleotides long. RefSeq lists it as uncharacterized. The record is from RefSeq and is a predicted model, not a curated record. The transcript has 2 exons. Lineage: Eukaryota; Metazoa; Chordata; Actinopteri; Labriformes; Labridae.